AAAAUGGAAAACAUAAUAAAAAUCAUAUGGUUUAACACAAACCUGGUGCUUUAUAGUUAGGGAAACUAAGAACUUCUAUUAUAAGGAACUUCUAGGGCACUCAGUAAAAUGGUAAUGACAUCGAGGUUUUUUAUCCAGCAUAUGCAGUCUCCUCAUAAUUGCAAGAAAUUUAACCACUUGUAUUAUACUUCCAGUUGGAGUAUUUUGAGGGAAACAAAACUUGGUUUAGUUUUUAUGAUUCUCUUCUCUUUCUCUUUUUCUAAACUUCAUAAUCAAUCUUUCUUGAACAUGCCUCCAAUAAACAAAUUAUCUAUUUUCAGUAAAGCCACAUUAGAUGUCAAGACUUCUCCAAUAGCCAGUCACAAAUGUCCUUUUGUAGUAGCUGGUAAUUUAAUUCACCCUUUUAUAGUCAAGUCAAAAGCUUAUAUUUGACAUGCAAGGGUUAUUAAUCUGGUAGUUUCUGACAUGGACCACUCACUAACGAGAAUUGCAAAUCAAUGACUUUAGGACUGAAUUCACUAUUGCAGGUAUAUUUUUCUUUGGUUACACAGAGUUUUAAAAAAUUGAAUUCAGAUGUCUUUAUGAAGGACAAAAUCACCAGCAUGUCAAUCUCUAUACUCCCCACUCCUUGUUCGCCUUGUUUGUGUGACAGUUGAUGUUCAGUUUCCAUUAUGAUUAUGGAGCUGAAACCCGCACACUUAUUGCUUUGUGGUUAUUUUUACUUUUGGGGAAAGAGGCAUGGGUGUUUUCUUCCACCAGAAAUAAACUUGGGAGAAAGAAAUGGAAACAGUUAUUAGAUGAAAAAUGCAACUGACACUUCAUAGACAAAGUCUUUGCACUUAAUGGUUUGAAGACCUUCGAAAACAUUAGAAAUAUUUCUUACUCUAUACAUCACACUCUGAAACAUUUCAUAUCACUACUUUAGUAAACAGGAAGUUGAACAAUAUCUAGUAAUGUAAUUGAAUGGGCUAUUUAAAAAUUGUAGUUGUGCAUAAAGCUGAUAUUUUUAAACGGUUGAUAGUAGAAAUUCCAGAAAAAGCACUAUUAAAACAUAUGAUUGAAUAUCAUAAAUUAAUAUUUCUUAUUAUGACUUUACAUAAUCACAGAUACUGAAGUAAUAUUUUAUUUUAUGUUUAGUAAUGUUUUAUAAAAAUAUUGCAUUGCAUUUUCCACUCACGCCAUAGCAAAC
Molecule: long non-coding RNA, 1189 nt
Filed under: Marmota monax (woodchuck)
Lineage: Eukaryota; Metazoa; Chordata; Mammalia; Rodentia; Sciuridae
Source: RNAcentral